RNAcentral lists this ribosomal RNA (395 nucleotides) under uncultured bacterium. RNAcentral describes it as "bacterial SSU rRNA". It matches the Rfam family "Bacterial small subunit ribosomal RNA", at positions 64 to 507 of the family's 1533-position model. The record is from RNAcentral.
GAGCGCCCCGCAAGGGGAGCGGCAGACGGGAGAGUAACACGUGGGAACAUACCCUUCAGUUCGGAACAACCCAGGGAAACUUGGGCUAAUACCGAAUACGUCCGUAAGGAGAAAGAUUUAUCGCUGAAGGAUUGGCCCGCGUCUGAUUAGCUAGUUGGUGAGGUAACGGCUCACCAAGGCUACGAUCAGUAGCUGGUCUGAGAGGAUGAUCAGCCUCACUGGGACUGAGACACGGCCCAGACUCCUACGGGAGGCAGCAGUGGGGAAUAUUGGACAAUGGGCGCAAGCCUGAUCCAGCCAUGCCGCGUGGAUGAUGAAGGCCCUAGGGUUGUAAAGUCCUUUCGGCGGGGAAGAUAAUGACGGUACCCGCAGAAGAAGCCCCGGCUAACUUCGUG